GACGAACGCUGGCGGCGUGCUUAACACAUGCAAGUCGAACGGAAAGGCCCUGCUUUUGUGGGGUGCUCGAGUGGCGAACGGGUGAGUAACACGUGAGUAACCUGCCCUUGACUUUGGGAUAACUUCAGGAAACUGGGGCUAAUACCGGAUAGGAGCUCCUGCUGCAUGGUGGGGGUUGGAAAGUUUCGGCGGUUGGGGAUGGACUCGCGGCUUAUCAGCUUGUUGGUGGGGUAGUGGCUUACCAAGGCUUUGACGGGUGGCCGGCCUGAGAGGGUGCCCGGCCACAUUGGGCCUGAGAUCCGGCCCAGCCCCCUCGGGGAGGCAGCAGUGGGGAAUAUUGCACAAUGGGCGGAAGCCUGAUGCAGCAACGCCGCGUGCGGGAUGACGGCCUUCGGGUUGUAACCCGCUUUCGCCUGUGACGAAGCGUGAGUGACGGUAAUGGGUAAAGAAGCACCGGCUAACUACGUG
This 468-nucleotide ribosomal RNA is filed under the name uncultured bacterium. Its description in RNAcentral is "partial 16S ribosomal RNA". It matches the Rfam family "Bacterial small subunit ribosomal RNA", at positions 28 to 507 of the family's 1533-position model. The record is from RNAcentral.